GCGAGGGUGAUGGAAUUGGCAGACAUGCGAGACUUAGGAUCUCGUGCCGCAAGGCGUAAGGGUUCAAAUCCCUUCCCUCGCACCA
This 85-nucleotide transfer RNA is filed under the name Sulfobacillus harzensis. RNAcentral describes it as "Sulfobacillus sp. DSM 109850 tRNA-Leu". It matches the Rfam family "tRNA". From Rfam's summary of the family: Transfer RNA (tRNA) molecules are approximately 80 nucleotides in length. Lineage: Bacteria; Bacillati; Bacillota; Clostridia; Eubacteriales; Clostridiales Family XVII. Incertae Sedis. The record is from RNAcentral.